CUUUGCUUAAUAAAUCUUGUGGGGUGGUUAUUUGUGUGUCUCAUCCAAUUCUUUGUUCAUAACACCAAGAACCUGGAACUCCCAACUUCCAAUCUGGUAACAUAUUUUGGUGAGCCAGCCAGGAGGGUCAAGCCUGCAAUACCUAAAGCUCCAGACCUGGAACCCAAAGCUCCCAUCAGUCGCUACCCUGUGAACCUGUGGAGGAUCUGAAGUACCUGUUUAAAAGGCAUCCAAAAGAUAGAAUCUAUCAAGCUACAAAUGGCUAUGUUGCCUGAAGCCCCAGACAUCAUCCUACAAGAAAUAAGUCCAGACUUCUUAAUUUCCCCCUGGAUAGAGCAGGCCACCACGCUGUAAGAAAGCACAAAGUCUUCAUAGAGAAACCAUCUGGAGGGACCUCAAGCUCCCAGCCAACAGCCAGUCCUGCAAGAGGAGUGUUCAGCUGAGUUCAGUCCCAACCUGAGUUGCAUCAACUGAGCUUUCAGACAUCAUGGAGCAAAGACAAAGCCAUCUCUGCUGGGCCUGAAUCCUAGGCCACAUAAUACACAAGCAAAACAAAAUGGCUGUUUUCCCCCCAUUGCAGUUUGGGGUGAUACUGUGGCCUGGGUGAAGACAUCGUAUCCUCUGUGUGUAACAGUGAUAAGAAGGCUUACCUCGCAGGGUUAUUACAAGACAAAUGAAAUAACUUUGGCACACUAUUAAAGGCUUCGUGGAUAAUUAAAGCUUCACAAAAACCUUGAUGAGA
Molecule: long non-coding RNA, 742 nt
Filed under: Homo sapiens (human)
Lineage: Eukaryota; Metazoa; Chordata; Mammalia; Primates; Hominidae
Description: HSALNT0319721
Source: RNAcentral